This 73-nucleotide transfer RNA is filed under the name Thermoplasmata archaeon. RNAcentral's name for it is "tRNA-Val". It matches the Rfam family "tRNA". From Rfam's summary of the family: Transfer RNA (tRNA) molecules are approximately 80 nucleotides in length. Lineage: Archaea; Methanobacteriati; Thermoplasmatota; Thermoplasmata. The record is from RNAcentral. RNAcentral also lists the same sequence under 3 other names.
GGGCUCAUGGUCUAGCGGUUAUGACGUCACUCUCACACAGUGAAGGUCGCCGGUUCGAUCCCGGCUGAGCCCA